AGAUGCUGCUUGACCCAUUGAGUUCCUCUUGCAGUUUGUAUCUUGAUCGAGAAUUUAACUGGAUCACCAAGGCUUUGCCAAGUGGUAUAUGUUGCAGCUUUAACUCACAGGUGGAAAGCAGUGGCUGGAUGAUGACAGAAAAUAAAAUAACUUUCGACACAGAACUAUGCUAAAUCUGAUCGAUUAGAGAUAGAGUCGUACAUCAUGGAAACAGGCCAUUCAGCCCACCAAAUUGACCAGUGGAUACCCACGCAUAUGAAUCCCACCUUCCAGCACGUGGUCCAUACCCUUGUAUACCUAU
This is a long non-coding RNA of Pristis pectinata (smalltooth sawfish), 301 nucleotides long. RefSeq lists it as uncharacterized. NCBI's taxonomy places the organism in Eukaryota, Metazoa, Chordata, Chondrichthyes, Rhinopristiformes, Pristidae. The transcript is spliced from 3 exons. The record is from RefSeq and is a predicted model, not a curated record.